This 739-nucleotide ribosomal RNA is filed under the name uncultured Actinomycetes bacterium. Its description in RNAcentral is "bacterial SSU rRNA". It matches the Rfam family "Bacterial small subunit ribosomal RNA", at positions 8 to 752 of the family's 1533-position model. The record is from RNAcentral. Lineage: Bacteria; Bacillati; Actinomycetota; Actinomycetes.
AGAGUUUGAUCAUGGCUCAGGAUGAACGCUGGCGGCGUGCUUAACACAUGCAAGUCGAACGCUGAAGCUCCCAGCUUGCUGGGGGUGGAUGAGUGGCGAACGGGUGAGUAUCACGUGAGUAACCUGCCCUUGACUCUGGGAUAAGCCCGGGAAACUGGGUCUAAUACUGGAUAGGACUGGCCAUCGCAUGGUGGUUGGUUGAAAGCUUUUGCGGUUUUGGAUGGACUCGCGGCCUAUCAGCUUGUUGGUGGGGUAAUGGCCUACCAAGGCUUUGACGGGUAGCCGGCCUGAGAGGGUGACCGGCCACACUGGGACUGAGACACGGCCCAGACUCCUACGGGAGGCAGCAGUGGGGGAUAUUGCACAAUGGGCGCAAGCCUGAUGCAGCGACGCCGCGUGAGGGAUGACGGCCUUCGGGUUGUAAACCUCUUUCAGUUGGGAAGAAGCCUUUCGGGGUGACGGUACCUUCAGAAGAAGCACCGGCUAACUACGUGCCAGCAGCCGCGGUAAUACGUAGGGUGCGAGCGUUAUCCGGAAUUAUUGGGCGUAAAGAGCUCGUAGGCGGUUUGUCACGUCUGCUGUGAAAGCUCGGGGCUUAACUCCGAGUGUGCAGUGGGUACGGGCAGGCUGGAGUGCAGUAGGGGAGACUGGAAUUCCUGGUGUAGCGGUGAAAUGCGCAGAUAUCAGGAGAAACACCGAUGGCGAAGGCAGGUCUCUGGGCUGUUACUGACGCUGAGGA